AUAAGUGAGGGUGAUGCAACCGCAACAUCUGCCACCCCAUUGAUCACCAGGGUUGACUUAGCUGACCUGGCUGGCUAGGCAGGUGUCCCUUUGCUCCUUCUCUGUUCCAUGUGUGUCCCUCCCAAAGCUGUGUGCUCGGUCAAAGAGGAUGACCAGCCUUGAUAGAGGAGGAUGAGUUAUUGGUCUGGGUUAUACAAGUAGCAGCACUCCCCUGCUCGAACCUCCAGACAACUUCUCAAGAAGACAUACAAAUAGUCAACAAACAUAUGAAAAAUCAUCAUUAUGGAAAUGCAAAUCAAAACCACAAUGAGAUAUCAUCU
Unclassified non-coding RNA from Aotus nancymaae (Ma's night monkey), 320 nucleotides. Its record names the gene 7SK. It matches the Rfam family "7SK RNA". From Rfam's summary of the family: 7SK was discovered as an abundant small nuclear RNA in the mid-70s but a possible function has only recently been suggested. The record is from Ensembl. NCBI's taxonomy places the organism in Eukaryota, Metazoa, Chordata, Mammalia, Primates, Aotidae.